GCUAGGCGCAGUAGCACAUGCCUGUAAUCCCAGCAACCCGGGAGGCUGAGGCAGGAGGAUUGCAUGUACAAGGCCAGCCUGGGCUAUUUAGCAGGAUCCUCAGCAACUUAGCAACACCCUGCCUCAA
RNAcentral lists this small RNA (127 nucleotides) under Marmota monax (woodchuck). Lineage: Eukaryota; Metazoa; Chordata; Mammalia; Rodentia; Sciuridae. The record is from RNAcentral.